CCUACGGGAGGCAGCAGUGAGGAAUAUUGGUCAAUGGGCGGGAGCCUGAACCAGCCAAGCCGCGUGAGGGAAGAAGGUACAGCGUAUCGUAAACCUCUUUUGUCAGGGAACAAAGGCGGGGACUAGUCCCCGGAUGAGGGUACCUGAAGAAAAAGCAUCGGCUAACCCCGUGCCAGCAGCCGCGGUAAUACGGGGGAUGCGAGCGUUAUCCGGAUUUAUUGGGUUUAAAGGGUGCGCAGGCGGCCUGUUAAGUCAGCGGAAAAGCCCGGGGCUCAACCCCGGCGAGCCGUUGAGACUGGCGGGCUGGAGUUGGAGAGAAGAAGGCGGAAUGCGAGGUGUAGCGGUGAAAUGCUUAGAUAUCGCGCAGAACCCCGAUUGCGAAGGCAGCGUACCGGCGCCACACUGACGCUGAGGCACGAAAGCGUGGGGAUCGAACAGGAUUAGAUACCCGAGUAGUC
This 458-nucleotide ribosomal RNA is filed under the name uncultured bacterium. RNAcentral's name for it is "partial 16S ribosomal RNA". It matches the Rfam family "Bacterial small subunit ribosomal RNA", at positions 338 to 795 of the family's 1533-position model. The record is from RNAcentral.